RNAcentral lists this ribosomal RNA (441 nucleotides) under uncultured bacterium. RNAcentral describes it as "partial 16S ribosomal RNA". It matches the Rfam family "Bacterial small subunit ribosomal RNA", at positions 338 to 795 of the family's 1533-position model. The record is from RNAcentral.
CCUACGGGAGGCAGCAGUGGGGAAUAUUGCACAAUGGGGGAAACCCUGAUGCAGCGACGCCGCGUGAGUGAAGAAGUCUUUCGGUAUGUAAAGCUCUAUCAUCAGGGACGAAGAAAGACGGUAACUGACUAAGAAACGCCGGCGAACUCAGUGCCAGCAGCCGCGGUAUUACGUAGGGGGCACGCGUUAUCCGGAGUUACUGGGUGUAAAGGGGGCGUAGACGGCAGUGCAAGUCUGAAGUGAAAACCCAGGGCUCAACCCUGGGACUGCUUUGGAAACUGUGGAGCUAGAGUGCUGGAGAGGUAAGUGGAAUUCCGAGUGUAGCGGUGAAAUGCGUAGAUAUUAGGAGGAACACCAGUGGCGAAGGCGGCUUACUGGACAGUAACUGACGUUGAGGCGCGAAAGCGUGGGGAGCAAACAGGAUUAGAUACCCGAGUAGUC